CCUGGCUGUUGUUGAGGAUGCUUGCAGCCCUCCUUGAAGCUCCCUGGCCAGUAUUUGAAAUGUAAAUUCAAUAUCUAAAAUGGAAAUACCAGGUGACUGGGAUCCUGGAAUUUGCCUUUUCAAGGCCACUUGUCCUACUAUCCCCUCCAUCCCUCCAGGCUGCCAUGAUCCUCCCUCUGGACCCUGUGGUCAGGGUCGCUGCAGAGAUCCUCCCUUUGGACCCCGCCUGCCUGAAGGGCCCAUACCUUGGUCAGGCAUCUUAGAAGGACUGCCGUGAGCCAUGUCAUAAAAAGGAGAAAACAUCACAUUGGACAGCCCCAAUUCCUGCAUAUACAGACGGGAAACUUAGGUGCACUGGGUCCCUUGAGAGUCCAUAUGAAUUUUAGGAUAGAUUUUUCUAUUUGUGCAAAAAACAUCAUUGGAAUUUUUACCUCCUUGAGUUCUCCGCCACCAACUUCCAUAACCAUCAGGAUAUUCUACAACUUCUGCAAGAGUAACAAUUUUACCUUACACUGUAUUUGUCUCAUGUGGUUUAAAACAUCCAGAAAUCAUUGAUAAACUGACCCUGCCCAAACUAAAGCAUGGUGAGUUAUAAAAGAUGGUCGCUGUUAAGUGGGGAGGGAUUGCAGGUUGAACUUAAUUUUAUAAGUGGUCAAUUUAUUACAAUAUAUUGUUCUAUUAUCUAUUUCACUUCUUUUUUAAAAAAAGUGAUAUUUGAGGGCACUUAGAUAAUAAAAAGUUGAGAAGAUAACGAACUGAUGUACUCUGUAAGCUUGAAAUGUUUUCAAGCAUAAGAUACAAUAAGAACUAAAACUAAGAAGUGGCAGAGGAAAUAGAGAUAAGAGGAUGAAAUUGCAAAACAGAAUCUAUAAUAAUAUCUCAAUGGCUAGCGCUGUGGUGCCAAGAAGGUGGUGAAGUCAAAGAAUUCGUAAAGAUGAUAAUAGACUGCAAAGAAAAAAGACUGAAAUUUUUGUAGAGAGAAUUUUUACAGCGAUAUUACAGAUAGAGAACAGGGAAGAGAAGUUGGAGUGAGAGACUAUCUUCUUAAAUUACUUCCACUGUAGA
This is a long non-coding RNA of Diceros bicornis minor, 1065 nucleotides long. RefSeq lists it as uncharacterized. The record is from RefSeq and is a predicted model, not a curated record. Lineage: Eukaryota; Metazoa; Chordata; Mammalia; Perissodactyla; Rhinocerotidae. The transcript is spliced from 3 exons.